This 253-nucleotide non-coding RNA is filed under the name uncultured bacterium. RNAcentral's name for it is "partial 16S ribosomal RNA". It matches the Rfam family "Bacterial small subunit ribosomal RNA", at positions 524 to 776 of the family's 1533-position model. RNAcentral also lists the same sequence under 1 other name. The record is from RNAcentral.
UACAGAGGAGCCAAGCGUUGUCCGGAUUGACUGGGCGUAAAGCGCACGCAGGCGGACGCGCGCGUGGGGUGUGAAAUCUGGCCGCUUAACGGCCAGGCGCCAUCCCAUACGGCGCGACUGGAGUGAUGCAGAGGUCGAUGGAAUUGCCGGUGUAGUGGUGAAAUGCGUAGAGAUCGGCAGGAACACCCAGGGGGAAACCAGUCGACUGGGCAUCUACUGACGCUGAGGUGCGAGAGCGUGGGGAGCGAACCGG